AGAGCUGGAAAGGGCUCGCAGAGAUGAUAUAAUGUCGUGGAUUUCAACUUUUCAGGGCCAUAGACACUUUUCAGAAAUUGAUAAAACGUUGACACACCUCGAAAAAAAUGAACACAUUAAAAUUAUGCCUGCAGUUUGAGGUAAUGGAGAAGCACUGGAGAUUUGUAAGCGACGGAGUCAAAUGGUGGACUGGGAUUUUCAGAUCAUUUAGAGAGUAAGAUCUUACCAAAUCCUUUAGUCAUGGUCUAUUUCGUUGCACUCAUAUGGGUGUUACUGCAAAGGUGAACAACUAAUGACUGCAGCAGGAAAAAGAAUUGGAUGUGUCAUGAAUUAUGGCCCUGCUUAUACUUCUACUUCAACCAUAAUCAUUUGUUUAAACAAAAAGUUCUGCAUUUGAAUUGUCACAAUUGUGUGUGUGUUAUAAACAUCUCGUAUUUCAUCCAGGCUCAGCCAACACUUGCCUUUGUUAACACUCAUAAUCAAGAAAUAAAAUCUCAUACUAAUCAAA
RNAcentral lists this long non-coding RNA (508 nucleotides) under Pongo abelii (Sumatran orangutan). RNAcentral's name for it is "lincRNA". The record is from RNAcentral. Lineage: Eukaryota; Metazoa; Chordata; Mammalia; Primates; Hominidae.